Molecule: transfer RNA, 64 nt
Filed under: Inocellia (Epinocellia) sp.
Lineage: Eukaryota; Metazoa; Arthropoda; Insecta; Raphidioptera; Inocelliidae
Description: tRNA-Asn
Source: RNAcentral
UUAAUUGAAACCAAAAAGAGGUAUAUCAUUGUUAAUGAUAAAAAUGAAAAUUUUUCCAAUUAAA